Molecule: long non-coding RNA, 1167 nt
Filed under: Oryctolagus cuniculus (rabbit)
Lineage: Eukaryota; Metazoa; Chordata; Mammalia; Lagomorpha; Leporidae
Description: lncRNA (ENSOCUG00000036448.1)
Source: RNAcentral
AUGACAAAUGGACCCAAAGACACAUAUUUAUUGAGCAAACAAGCUCAUCAUCUUCUACAUUUGAAAACUCACAUGAGCACAUACAAGUGCAGGCUUCAUCGGGGGGAAAAAAUGCCCAGCACUCCCCUUAAUUGCGGGAACAUUCCAUCCAGAUGCACAGAGCAGCACACCUGUGAGUGUGCAAACAAAGUCUCAGCUGUUAAAGCUGAGGGGCUGCGAAGCAAAGCAACCGUUGGACCAGGCAGCCAGAGGAGGGUGGCAGGGCAAGCAGCUAGACGGCAGCCAGGCCCUGUCUUUGCAGGGGAAUCCGAGGCCACCUUGCCACUUUCACCCUGUCGUGCCUGGAACACGCACAAUCCGCCAGGCCCUGCACUUAAGGCCGCCAUGAGCCUCACCCCGUGGCGACGUCACAGCUUUCGGAGAUCUCAAACCUCAGGUAGCAGACUCUUGUGGGAGAUCCCUUAGAACUGCCUGCUGGCUUGGGGUGAGUUGUUCCCUCUGGUAAGGUUUCCAUCUGAAUUCCUCCUGGGGAUAUGGGAUAUCAAGCACUGUGUUAGGCAUUCAGAGGGACAAUUAUGAACCAGACACGCUCCCUGCCCUCAAGGAAUUUAUAGUCUAAUAGGGAAGAGAGAGAGCAGACAGCUAAUCACAACAUAGAAUGCUGAAAGCUGGAAGUCCUGGGGAGGAGAGAGGAUGAGCAUCUAAAUCAUUCUGGAGGGUCAGGGCAGGCUUCCAGAAAGGCAUGAUGUGUGAGUUGAAGAAUGAGUGGGAGUCAGCGAGUGCAGGAGAACAGGCAAAGGUUAUUCCAGACAGACAGACUUUUGCAGGAGUAAGGUUUGCUAACAGAGCCUAAAAAAACUAUUUAUAAUGCACAAAUGUUGGAGAAUCAAAAAUGGGAAGUUGAUCAAUACAAGCAAAACCCGACCCUUCGGAAAGACCAUUACAUGGACAGAAGUUAGCAAAUAUGCCCCCCAAAUCACCAGAGCUAAAGGAGAUGGAGAAAGGGAGAUAGAGGAAGAAAAAGGGGAGAGGGGAAGAGAAAGAGUGAAGGGGGGAUGGGGGGCGGGGGUAGGCAUUGUAGUGUAGCAGGUUAAGCUGCUAUCCCAUCCCUCCCUCCUUCUCUCUCUCUCAAAUAAAUAAAAAUCAAAAAAUGAAGUAUUGGAGAAU